This 1726-nucleotide small RNA is filed under the name Pongo abelii (Sumatran orangutan). RNAcentral describes it as "retained intron". The record is from RNAcentral. Lineage: Eukaryota; Metazoa; Chordata; Mammalia; Primates; Hominidae.
GCCGGGGACCACACAGAGAAUAACUUGUCUGAUUACCAGUAUUCUUGGAUGCAGAAGUGCUGAAGAUGAGCACACACACGUACGGAGAAUUUCUGGAGAAUUCAGCUGCUCAGAACAAGAACUGAGAUCCAGAGAGAUGAUGACUUUGCCCAUAGACCAAACAAAGAAAUACAUGUUUCAGUCCUGUGUCCUUCUGCUAUGUGUGUCCAGAAUUGGUGGGUUCUUGGUCUCACUGACUUCAAGAAUGAAGCCGCGGACCCUCACAGUGAGUGUUACAGUUCUUAAAGGCAGUGUGUCCACAGUUUGUUCCUACUGAUGUUCAGAUGUGUUCGGCGCUUCUUCCUUCUGGUGGGUUCCUGGUCUCGCUGGCUCAGGAGUGACGCUGCAGACCUUUCCGGUGAGUGUUACAGCUCUUAAGGCGGGUCGUCUGGGGUUGUUCGUUUCUCCCGGUGGGCUCGUGGUCUCACUGGCUUCAGGAGUGAAGCUGCAGACCUUCGCGGUGUUACAGCUCAUAAAGGCAGUGUGGACCCAAAGAGUGAGCAGUAGCAAGAUUUAUUGCAAAGAGCGAAAGAACAAAGCUUCCACAGUGUGGAAUGGGACCUGAGCAGGUUGCCACUGCUGGCCCGGGCAGCCUGCUUUUAUUCUUAUUUGGCCCCACCCACAUCCUGCUGAUUGGUAGAGCCCAGUGAUCUGUUUUGACCAGGGGCUGAUUGGUGCCUUUACAAUCCCUGAGCUAGACGCAAAGGUUCUCCACCUCCCCACCAGACUCAGGCGCCCAGCUGGCUUCACCCAGCAGAUCCCGCACCGCCGCUGCAGGUGGAGCUACCUGCCAGUCCCGCGCCCUGCGCCCGCACUCCUCAGCCCUUGGGUGGUCCAUGGGACUGGGCGCCGUGGAGCAGGGGGCGGCGCUCGCCGGGGAGGCUCCGGUGGCACAGGAGCCCACGGAGGGGGUGGGAGGCUCAGGCAUGGCGGGCUGCAGUCCCGAGCCCUGCCCCGCGGGAAGGCAGCUAAGGCCCGGCGAGAAAUCCAGCGCAGCGCCAGUGGGCCGGCACAGCUGUGGGACCCAGUACACCCUCUGCAGCCGCUGGCCCGGGUACUAAGCCCUCAUUGCCCGGCCCGGCAGCGCCGUCCGGCUGCUCUGAAUGCCGGGCCCGCCAAGCCCACGCCCACCCGGAACUCCAGCUGGCCCGCAAGCGGCGCUCGCAGCCCCGGUUCCCGCUCGCGCCUCUCCCUCCACACCUCCCCGCAAGCUGAGGGAGCCGGCUCUCGCCUUGGCCAGCCCAGAAAGGGGCUCCCACAGUGCAGCGGUGGGCUGAAGGGCUCCUCAAGUGCCGCCGAAGUGGGAGCCCAGGCAGAGGAGGCGCCGAGAGCGAGUGAGGGCUCUGAGGCACCUCAGAGUGAGGAUAGCUCACUAGUAGCUAUCCUACUUUUAAAUAAAGAACUAGGCUGGGCACGGUGGCUCGUGCCUGUAAUCCCAGCACUUUGGGAGGCCAAGGUGGGUGGAUCAUCUGAGGUCAGGAAUUCGAGACCAGCCUGGCCAACAUGGCAAAACCCCAUCUCUACUAAGAAUACAAAAAUUAGCCAGGCAUGGUGGCGGGCGCCUGUAAUCCCAGCUACUUGAGAGACUGAGGUGGGAGAAUCACUUGAACCCGGGAGGCGAAGGUUGCGGUAAGCCGAGAUUGCACCACUGUGCUUCGGCCUGGGCGGCAGAGUGAGACUCCAUUUC